GGAACGGUGGCUGCCUGCUCCCGGGACCUGUGGAUGUGUGACACCCCGCUCCCAAAGUGAGCAGAUGGCUCAGGGUCCCUGCCGUCUCAGGAGCCCGUGGGUUCACUGGGACCAGUCGGGCUGUUUUCAGGUGCACACGGCAUUGGCUGAGGCCAUGGUGGUCUGGGAGCUGGACUGGACCAAACUGUCCAUCAGGGAUCACUCACUGGAGGGGGGUUAAGAGUGGCUGAGUCAGGGCACUGGGCCAGCUGGGCUCCCCUCUCUGUGGUCUCAAAGUCUCUCCCUCGCUUAUUCUCUCCAUACACAGUGUCUCCAGUGCAGACACCACACUGCUUAUGUGCUGGCUUCCAGCCCCUGGACACAGCAGUACAAGCCUCUCUGACUUCUCAAGACUUAAACCAGAGCUGGCCCAGCGUCACCCUUGCCGUGUUUUAUUGCCUGAACACCCGAGGCUCAGAGAUGCUGAGUCACUUCACCAGAGCUCUGAAGCUGAGUCCGUCAACCCCCAUGACGUCCCAUCCCGUCGGGAAGAAUAGUCCACGAUGACUCUCUGUGGUGCAGCUGACAGAACGAGGUCCUGACAGGUGGAGUGGUCCAGGGUUCCCUCAGCCAGGGUCCCAGUGCCCCCUUUGAGGAGAAUAGAUGCAAGAGAAAGUGCAGGGCCUGGCACAUAGUAGGUGUUCAGUAAACGCAAACGCAAACCAAGCCCUCCACUCCAAGCCAGAUCACUCGUGCAGCUCAUGUCGGGGGUCCACAGACUGCAGCUGGGGCAUCGCGUUAUUGGCCUGACUGUGGUCAGGACUGAAUUUCCGACUGGGUGACCGACAAGCUCGGAAGGAGUAGUUCCCUCCCCCACUUGCCUCUCACCCACAGCCGUUCGGUUUCUGAGCGAUCUGUUCCUAGAAAGGAACAGAUUGAUGCAUCGGCUGUGUGUGGCCAAGUGAUUUAUUUUUAAUGUGACUAAACAAGACAUGCACCUGCCUAUGGAAAUGUAAGCCCGUUGAUGCGGAUGGCCCACUAGGCAAGGAAGAGACGGAAGAAGCAGAGGAGAGGAGAGGGAAGGAGGAGGGGGAGGUGGAGAGGGGAGAGUAGGAAACCGGGGGGCGCGUGUCAGCCCCCUGAAAAGGAGGCUGUGGGCAGCAUCAGCGGAGCACCUCCCAUUGGCCUAGCAGCCCCCCCACCCCAUUCAGCUUUGUGGAUGGCUGACAUCUCAGAAUUCACCUGCGCCUCCGCGGUUUCAUCAAGCCGGCCCGCGCCGUGGGAGUGUCAGUGCCGGGAGCCCAGCGCAGCACCGCACCGCACCCAUUGUUUUCACCAGUGAGAAGGACGUUGUGGGGUCCUUUAUGAAAGCAGGGUUUGUUUUAUUCCCCCCUGGGGGAUGGAUGUGGGCAUGGAAGCAACGUUUAUGGAGGUCACCAGUUAGGGGACAAAAAGACACAGAAAGGAACCGAGGGGUUCUGGACACCCCUCUUCUUCACAGCUUUCUUAAUUAUAACAGUGGCCUCUAACUGGGCACCUACUGCGUCCGGACACCGG
Molecule: long non-coding RNA, 1536 nt
Filed under: Oryctolagus cuniculus (rabbit)
Lineage: Eukaryota; Metazoa; Chordata; Mammalia; Lagomorpha; Leporidae
Description: lncRNA (ENSOCUG00000030522.1)
Source: RNAcentral